UCCUCCUCCCCAUACGCUGGCAACAGGAGCUCUUGGAGGAGGAGAAAGCACCAUGCUCCGACAACCUUUGACCUUAAAGAGAGUGGCAUACACAUGGUAAAGAAGCAGUCAUGUUCAGGACCCCCACCCCAUGGAAGAAGAACCCAAUAUACCCCUGUCUCUGGACUCAGAAUCAUAUCUGCCGUGAAGCCUCCCAUCUUCCUGCGCCUGCCACAAACCAUCAGAGUGAUUUCCUACAAGAAUGGGACAAGACAAACCUCUGCUAAAGUCACAGCUUCUAACAUUACCACGCUUUUGGAGGCGUGCACAUCUAAACUGAAGCUGAACUCUGCAGCCAGAAGGAUAUUCCUGUGCGACGGUACAGGGGUUUCUCUAGCUGAGGACCUGGCUAUUGACUCAGAGGUGUUCGUCUCAAUGGGAGAGGCCUUCCUGGAACCACAGAGAGAAAUCCGAGGACAAGGAUUGUCCUGACUUUGAAGAUUGCCUGAAUUGAUUCACAUUGCUUUUCUGGUUGGUUGUUGCUGGAUCUGUGCACCAGCAAGUUGCAUCUCACCUCUGUGGCUAAGCUGGUCUACGACUGGGAUGGGAGACACGUGGAGGACAUCAGUCAAGUUUCCCUGUUGGAUGGCUGUCUGCAGAUUUCCCUCACCCUGCUGCCGGGGGCCACUGUGGGUGUCCAGGGGGGGAGAAGGUCAGCCCAGACGGGGUCAGGCUCUACAUCCAGGGGGGCCUUGCGGGCGAGGCUGCGGUCGGCCAAGGACCACCUG
This is a non-coding RNA of Salmo salar (Atlantic salmon), 767 nucleotides long. Lineage: Eukaryota; Metazoa; Chordata; Actinopteri; Salmoniformes; Salmonidae. The record is from RefSeq and is a predicted model, not a curated record.